CCCUUAGAUGUUCGGGGCCGCACGCGCGCUACACUGAAGGACUCAGCGUGUCUCUCCCCCUAUCCCGAAAGGGAUGGGCAACCCGUUGAACCUCCUUCGUGCUAGGGAUUGGGGUUUGCAAUUAUCCCCCAUGAACGAGGAAUUCCCAGUAAGCGCGAGUCAUCAGCUCGCGUUGAUUACGUCCCUGCCCUUUGUACACACCGCCCGUCGCUACUACCGAUUGGAUGGUUUAGUGAGACCCUCGGAUCGGUCCCGACUCGGGGUGGGCUUCUGCCCCGGUCGUGGUUUCGCCGAGAAGACGGUCAAACUUGACUAUCUAGAGGAAGUAAAGGUCGUAACA
RNAcentral lists this ribosomal RNA (340 nucleotides) under uncultured eukaryote. Its description in RNAcentral is "partial 18S ribosomal RNA". It matches the Rfam family "Eukaryotic small subunit ribosomal RNA", at positions 1470 to 1796 of the family's 1831-position model. The record is from RNAcentral.